AGAAUAUUCGUCACAAAUAACAAUGGAGAAUUUGAAGUAAUAAUUACAGAUCUGAGUGUAAUGGAUGCUGGCAUAUACAGAUGUGGUUUCAGUAGUUUCCCUCACACAUAUGAGUAUGUGGAAAUUACCGUUUCUGAUCUAAGUGGAGUAAACACAGCUCCUCUCUCGCCAAAAUCCAACAUUAAAGCAGCAGUCUGGCCGUCGUCUUCUCCCUCUGCACCCAUUGUUUCUGAGAAUGACGCAGAGACACUCAGAUAAAAGUGAAAUCUGUGGUUCUCCUAACGCCACCCUG
This 292-nucleotide long non-coding RNA is filed under the name Sinocyclocheilus anshuiensis. Its description in RNAcentral is "lncRNA (ENSSANG00000021690.1)". The record is from RNAcentral. Lineage: Eukaryota; Metazoa; Chordata; Actinopteri; Cypriniformes; Cyprinidae.